Molecule: unclassified non-coding RNA, 279 nt
Filed under: Glomus sp.
Lineage: Eukaryota; Fungi; Glomeromycota; Glomeromycetes; Glomerales; Glomeraceae
Description: partial contains 5.8S ribosomal RNA and internal transcribed spacer 2
Rfam family: 5.8S ribosomal RNA (bases 1-65)
Source: RNAcentral
GUGAAUCAUCGAAUUUUUGAACGCAAAUUGCACUCUCUUCUGAUAGUAUGCCUGUUUGAGUGCCAGCCUAAAAAAAAUCGUCAUCGUUGCUGUUUCGCGUUGGCGUUCGUCGGAAAUUGGGUUAUCUUAAAUCUUUGUUUUAAGCGACUUAAAUUUUUCUUUACGAUCCCAUUAACGGCUCCAAUAUGUAUUUCUUUACACGUUUAAGUUAUUGUUUCUAUUAGGCUUGGUCGUCAUAUCUUAUCAUGUCCAUAAUUUUUCGUUAACUGACCUCAGACA